AAGUCGUAACAAGGUUUCCGUAGGUGAACCUGCGGAAGGAUCAUUAUCGAGUUUGAAAGGGGUUGUAGCUGGCCUUUCACGAGGCAUGUGCACACCCCUACUCAUCCACUCAACACCUGUGCACACUAUGUAGGCUUAGAUGAAUGCCGUCUGCCUUUCGGCUUCGGCAGGAGUCUUGGCCUAUGUCUUUAUAAACUCUGUAAAGUCAACGAAUGUACGUGCGAUAAACGCAAUAAAUACAACUUUCAGCAACGGAUCUCUUGGCUCUC
This 269-nucleotide unclassified non-coding RNA is filed under the name air metagenome. RNAcentral's name for it is "partial contains small subunit ribosomal RNA, internal transcribed spacer 1, and 5.8S ribosomal RNA". The stretch from base 1 to 46 matches the Rfam family "Eukaryotic small subunit ribosomal RNA", at positions 1786 to 1831 of the family's 1831-position model. The record is from RNAcentral.